GCGCCGAUGGUGUAAUGGCGUAGAGCAUUCCCGCCCGGUUAGAGGGAGGUGCGGGUUCGAGUCCCGCCUGGCGCU
Molecule: non-coding RNA, 75 nt
Organism: Heligmosomoides polygyrus
Lineage: Eukaryota; Metazoa; Nematoda; Chromadorea; Rhabditida; Heligmosomidae
Source: Rfam